CGCGUAGGCGGAUAUUACAGUCAGGCGUGAAAUUCCUGGGCUCAACCUGGGGGCUGCGUUUGAUACGUGAUGUCUGGAGUUCGGAAGAGGGUCGUGGAAUUCCCAGUGUAGAGGUGAAAUUCGUAGAUAUUGGGAAGAACACCGGUGGCGAAGGCGGCGACCUGGUCCGAUACUGACGCUGAGGCGCGAAAGCGUGGGGAGCAAACAGGAUUAGAUACCCUGGUAGUCCACGCUGUAAACGAUGUGCGCUGGAUGUUGGGUGACAUAGUCACUCAGUGUCGUAGCUAACGCGAUAAGCGCACCGCCUGGGGAUACGGCCGCAAGGUUGAA
This 330-nucleotide ribosomal RNA is filed under the name uncultured bacterium. Its description in RNAcentral is "bacterial SSU rRNA". It matches the Rfam family "Bacterial small subunit ribosomal RNA", at positions 568 to 898 of the family's 1533-position model. The record is from RNAcentral.